UCUCUGCCAAAAAGGUGGGGGAUUUUGGUGUGUUUACUGCUUGCAUCGACACAAAGGAAAAUAACAGUCUCAGAUUGCAGUGCUACUAUCAAGACUGUUCACAACCUCCCUAUAAGCCCUUCAGCUGUGAAUUCAAGACAUCGAAUGGAGGUAUACUGGCUACAAUGAAAAACACGAUGUGCAAGAAUUACACUGUCCCAUUAACAGAACACAGUCAUAGCGAGUUGCAAGAGACUGGUAAUGUGACAAACUUCACAUGCACACUGACAAGAAACAAGAGGACUGAAACGAAGAAUAUCACCAUAGACUACAAGACACAAAAAGAAAAACAACAAAUCCCAAAGUGCUGUGCUGCAAGCCCAACCUCCCUGUGGCCUGUGGUGCUCCUCACUCUGUGGAGAGUCGUUGACUCCUGAUGAAGCAAGCAUGAAGGAGGGUCUCUGAACGCUUUGACUAACACAGAUGUAUCUGUUCCAUUUAGGCAUUUUGAAAUUUAAGAAACUUUCUUAAAUACAUUUCUAUGCAGGCGUCCAUUACUUGCCUGAUCCCCAAGUACAUGCAAUAAUGCAGUAUGUUAACAUAUAAACUGAAUUCCAACUAUGAUAUAUGAUAAUAUGAUAUAUUAAAGACUUAUGAAUUAAAA
Molecule: long non-coding RNA, 643 nt
Organism: Pundamilia nyererei
Lineage: Eukaryota; Metazoa; Chordata; Actinopteri; Cichliformes; Cichlidae
Exons: 3
Source: RefSeq, a predicted model, not a curated record